Molecule: long non-coding RNA, 162 nt
Organism: Gopherus evgoodei (Goodes thornscrub tortoise)
Lineage: Eukaryota; Metazoa; Chordata; Testudines; Testudinidae
Exons: 2
Source: RefSeq, a predicted model, not a curated record
CACAGCACUCCAUUCUCCCCAACAGCCAGAAUCUUUUUCUCAGCCUGACUGAUGUACCCUCCCAAGGCAGUAUCCCAGGCAAUGAAGCCAUGGAACGGACAUAUGCUGCAAAUUUUUCAAGCCUCCCUCCUCCGUCCUGAGGGCUCUCUCAGAUAAAGUGGC